AGCCCACCGGGGAAUACCACAGUGUGCCCAUGCCUCUCCAUCCAGCGCUGUCUUCCUCAUUGGAAGUGACCACCUACUUUGUGUCUCGUCUCCCCACCUGACAGCUUCGUCACUUCCAGAACCCAGGGCUCAGCUUUCAAGGGCAUAUUAUAAAUAGAUCCUCCUUACCAGGACUCUCCUUUCUUAUCUGUGAACUGACACCAAGCACAGGCAACCAGGGCACAAAGAAAGAAUGCUGUCCGGGACGGAGCAGAUAAUCAAUAUCUUCAAAAGAGUUGAGAGCACGUUUUCCCAAGGGGGAAGUGAGGAAGGUCUGAAAAUGACAGCCUGGGGAAGCUUCCUGGGAUCUUCUGUGGAGGGGAGGGAAUCAUUUAAAGGAGAAGAUUUCCUGCUGCCGUUUUUGAAAUUUGGAGAAAUUUCUGUGGAUGGAACUCAAGUCAUCUGAACUUUUCCGCAUCCCAGGGGUGUGAAAAUUCAGAAACUGAGAAGCACUGUGCUGUGGAGUCUUCAGAAGAGAAGGCUUUUUAGUUCAUGCCUGAAAAGUCCCAGUAGAGUAUGAGAAGCCCAUCAAAUUCAGCUGUCCUGCUUUACAGAUAAUGCAAUUGAGCACAUAGAGGAGCCCCAGGAAUAAGAUCUAAUAUUAUAACCAGAUGUGCCAGGCCCAGCUCUUCCUUCCACCUAUAGUGAGAAAAUAUUAGUGGGGCAGACCAGAGAACUGCCAAAUCAUUCUCUGCUCUAAAGAUAAAAAAUUAAAAUGUGCCCAUUGGAAGCUGCCUUCCACCAAGGACAUCUGCCUGAAGGAUGUCCCUGUGGAGGCUGAAGGAACACAAACACAGAUCUCUCCUGCCCUUGUAACUGGCUUCAGAAGGGCCUAUGAUAUUUCAGUGAUUAUUUCAGGAGCUAAGGUAGUAAAUUGGAGGCGUGAUGUAGAAGGUCAUGAAGCAGCUGUUGGCUUUCUCUGAAUGUAGAUUAUGUUCCUGUAAGGCAGAGCGUCUGUAGUCUGUAAAUAUUCUCCGUAACAAGUCACCCACGAGAUGCUGGUAAACCUCACCCUCAGGGUUAGCCCUGGCUCUCACUCACACCCUGACGACUCUUUCCUUGGUCCUCUCCCCAAGUGACACAUGUGAGCUGUGUCAUGUUACCAUAAAGACUAGCCAACACCUCAUCCAUGACUAUCAUGAUCUUGAUGUUCCUCUUACAUGGACCAAAACCCUGUAUUUGAUUAUGACUUUUAGCCUUUAUUUUUACUCUCACUAUAUUCUUCAAACUGACAGUGACCAUAAUCAACAAUCUAACCCUCUCUUGACUUUCAUACUGACUGUGACCCUCUUACCAAACUUUACCAUGUCUAUGACACUGAAGCUAACCUUUACCUGCAAAUUGACCCUGACCCCAUGCUUGGUACCCACACACUCUAUCUGAUCUCCUUACUCCUCAAUUGUUACUUCUUCCUUGAUAAUGUAUCUGACCUUGAUAAUCACUCUGAUCAUGAUUAAUUAUCAUGACCUCACAAUAGCCUCAUCCUCACAUUAGUUUGUAUCUCAAAAAGCCUUUAAUUUUGGUUGAAUUUCUUAUUCUUCUUCCUCAGCAGUUGCCUUUAUCCUUGUUGUCACUUUCAGUUUGAUCCUGAGCCUAAACCUUAUCCAUUCAUUGAUCCUUACAUGACCCCAGCUUUUAUACUUCCAUACACUGACAGUAAACUAGUGGAUCACAUCUCGACUGAACACAGGAAGUACAGAUGAACAGGGAGUAGGAUUAGGCUAUACAUCCUCAAAACCCAUCCCUAAGGGACAUUCUUCCUCCAGCAAGAUCACAUCCCCUAAAGUCCUAUAGCCUCCCCAAACAGUGCUAUCAACUGGGGACCAAGUAUUUAAAUGCAUAAGCCUGUAGGAGACAUUUCUUAUUCGGACUACCACAUCACAGACCCUAAAAUACACAACCACUCUCACUUUGACCCUGUUUUCUUCAACCUCACCCUAAUACUCUCUUACUCGCUCAUCUUGACUUCCAACUUUACUCCAUCACACACCCAUUUACCCAUUACCCUGAACCUACUC
This is a long non-coding RNA of Mesocricetus auratus (golden hamster), 2057 nucleotides long. RefSeq lists it as uncharacterized. The transcript is spliced from 2 exons. The record is from RefSeq and is a predicted model, not a curated record. Lineage: Eukaryota; Metazoa; Chordata; Mammalia; Rodentia; Cricetidae.